CCAAUAGCGUAUAUUAAAGUUGUUGCAGUUAAAAAGCUCGUCGUUGAAUUUCGGGGUCAGCAGGUUGGUCGUGCCAAUGGUAUGCACUGGCCUUGCUGAUUCCUCCCUCUUGAUGAGCCGUAAUGCCAUUAAUUUGGUGUUGCGGGGAAUCAGGACUGUUACUUUGAAAAAAUUAGAGUGUUUAAAGCAGGCAAGCGCUUGAAUACAUUAGCAUGGAAUAAUGAAAUAGGACGUUUGAUCCUAUUUUGUUGGUUUCUAGGAUUGACGUAAUGAUUAAUAGGGAUAGUUGGGGGCAUUAGUAUUCAAUUGUCAGAGGUGAAAUUCUUGGAUUUAUUGAAGACUAACUACUGCGAAAGCAUUUGCCAAGGAUGUUUUCAUUAAUCAAGAACGAAAGUUAGGGGAUCGAAGACGAUCAGAUACCGUCGUAGUCUUAACCAUAAACUAUGCCGACUAGGGAUCGGAUGAUGUUAAUUUUUUAAUGACUCAUUCGGCGCCUUACG
RNAcentral lists this ribosomal RNA (500 nucleotides) under uncultured Glomeromycotina. RNAcentral describes it as "partial small subunit ribosomal RNA". It matches the Rfam family "Eukaryotic small subunit ribosomal RNA", at positions 591 to 1092 of the family's 1831-position model. The record is from RNAcentral. Lineage: Eukaryota; Fungi; Glomeromycota.